AUUGAACGCUGGCGGAAUGCUUUACACAUGCAAGUCGAGCGGCAGCGCGGGGGCAACCCUGGCGGCGAGCGGCGAACGGGUGAGUAAUGCAUCGGAACAUGUCCGGUUGUGGGGGAUAACCUGGCGAAAGCCAGGCUAAUACCGCAUGAGCUCGAGAGAGGAAAGCGGGGGACCGUAAGGCCUCGCGCGACCGGGUUGGCCGAUGUCCGAUUAGCUAGUUGGUGGGGUAAAGGCUACCAAGCGAUGAUCGGCAGCUGGUCUGAGAGGAUGAUCAGCCACACUGGGACUGAGACACGGCCCAGACUCCUACGGGAGGCAGCAGUGGGGAAUUUUGGACAAUGGGGGCAACCCUGAUCCAGCCAUUCCGCGUGAGUGAAGAAGGCCU
Molecule: ribosomal RNA, 385 nt
Filed under: uncultured bacterium
Lineage: Bacteria
Description: bacterial SSU rRNA
Rfam family: Bacterial small subunit ribosomal RNA
Source: RNAcentral